UGGCCUGAGCUGAAAUCAGGAUUCAGCCGGGAGAAGUGGACACCUGUGUCCAUACAAUAAAUGACACAUGCAUGUUCGUAGCAACUUGACUUAUAGUGGAUGAAAGGUAGAAACAGUGUCUGUCAGCUGACGCGUAGAUAUGCAAAAUACAUGAAUAAAGUAUUUCAUACAGUGGAAUAUUUUUGGCAACCAAAAGGCAGGAAGUACUGAUACAUGGGACAUCACGGACCAACCCGGAAACACCGUUAUAGGGGAGGGCAGCCAGUCACCAAAGGCCACAUACUGCAAGUCCAUUCCUGUGCAGUGUUUGGAAUGGGCAGAUCUGUAGAGACAAGCUGUGUUAGUGGUGGUCUUAGGGCCGGAGGGGAUGGGGGUUACUCCCAAAGCGUGGGGGGUUCUUUAUGAGAUGAUGAACAUGUUUGAAAAUUGAUUAUGGUGAAGGUUGCCCAGUUUUGUGAGUUCGUUUGUACCUGUUAAAUGGGUGAAUUAUAUGUAAAUUAUAUAUCAAGAGAGUUGUU
Molecule: long non-coding RNA, 518 nt
Organism: Lutra lutra (Eurasian river otter)
Lineage: Eukaryota; Metazoa; Chordata; Mammalia; Carnivora; Mustelidae
Exons: 3
Source: RefSeq, a predicted model, not a curated record